UUGUGAAUUGAUCCCUAUAAAAGAAUCGAUUCACUUCAUAACUCCCAAAUCCCUUCAUAACAUUCUCAGCUUAAUUUGACGCAUUACUGUACUGUAUUAUUUGGGGACUUAAGCGUGCAUUUGUGCGCAGUGGUGAUCUUUUAGAGACUGUACCGACUGGAAUUUAGCGACCACUGACCGUUUUAGAGACCGUACGGUCGGCGGCGGGCGUCCCCUCCCAGGCCUCCCAGUCCCGAUCCUCGCCUGGGGCGAAGGCCGGAGACGCCGGAGAGGGGAGCGCGCAUCGCGCGCGCCCCCCUCCGCCGCAUUCCAUCCGUCCCAUUCACUGCCCGCUCGCGAUGUGCGGACGGCUGACGGGGGUGUCGAGUGUGUGCCGUGCGGUGUUGGUGUCGUCUGCCGUCUCCUCUUCCGACCUGAAGCAUUCGAGAAUCUCGGCUCACCAAUAAUAUGCGAUGCAAGGCUCGACGGGCGACAUCCUCGCUCAGGAUGUGUACGAGUAUAGCUGGAUGCAGACGGAACGGCGGCCUCGACAAUGGUGACAUGACGUGACGUCAACGGUGUGAUGGUGUGAUGUGACUGUGACGUGUGGAUGACUCGAAAAGUAAAGGGCUUUAAUAUGUGUUCUCAGCUAUACAUUUUUUAUGAAUACAUAUUGAUUUAGACG
Long non-coding RNA from Amphibalanus amphitrite, 664 nucleotides. RefSeq lists it as uncharacterized. Lineage: Eukaryota; Metazoa; Arthropoda; Thecostraca; Balanomorpha; Balanidae. The transcript is spliced from 2 exons. The record is from RefSeq and is a predicted model, not a curated record.